GCUAAAUGCUAAUGUCAGCUAACCAAUGAUAAUAAUACUAACAUGCUGAUGUAAAGUGGGUAUUGUUUACCAUCUUAGUUUAGCCUAUUAGCAUUCCAACAUUCACUAAAUAGUUUUUCAGGCAUUUGGUCAUUAAACAACAAACAAAAAUGUUGACCUAAUGAUUGUGCUAGAUGGAAAGUCAAUUAGACACAUCGCCUGGAGACCGUGAACGUCUGUAUAAGAUGUCAUGGCAACAAUGAAGUAGUAGUUAAGAUAUUUCAGUCUGGACCAAAGUGGAAAACUUCCCUCUCUAGUAUUAUGAUGGUAGCAUGGUUCAAAUCAGGUAAAAUCAGGUAACAUUUGAACAACCAUUCUACAUCUACAACAAACGUGUGACAGUUCUUCAAGAUGACGUAAAAUAACGUUUUGGACUUUAAUUACAGUGUUUAAGUCACUUUAAUACACCCUAAAAAUCUCACCCGGAUGCCGAGUUCCACAUUUUCACCACCAUAUAUUUUCAUUCCACCAUCAAGGCUUCCGAUCUCGCCAAAGAACUUUCGAUCAGCUACAAGAAUACCCAUUAUGGAGGGGCUCCUGAAGACAGAAUUUGAAUAGAACCAAUGUCCCAUGCUUCAUAUUAAAAAGGAACAUGUUGUGAGUCGUCCUUUAAAGCGUACCACUCAGGUCUGAAGGACUCGUACAUGCACCACAGAGCCCAGUCGAAGGCAUCCGCAAAAGGUAUAUAGGGAGUCAGUGUCAAGUCAUCAAAAUUGACUUUGUCAAACACUGGUGUCAAUAUCACAGUCCGGUCCUCUUUAAUCCGUGCUAACAACGGUUCAGCCCUGGACACACAGUGACAGUUUUACUUAUGCUGUAUGUCUUGACAAAUCAGAAAUAGAUGAUAAUUAUCACCACUGUAGCACAGCAAGGCAAACUAAGCUGUAACAACUCAGAUCACCAACCAUUGUACAUGGACUUCUAUGUGAGCGUCUAAGAUGGCCACCACGUCCCCCACAGCAGCCCUCCAUCCCGACAGUCUUGCCUGGGUGAGGCCGA
Long non-coding RNA from Perca fluviatilis (European perch), 1038 nucleotides. RefSeq lists it as uncharacterized. The record is from RefSeq and is a predicted model, not a curated record. NCBI's taxonomy places the organism in Eukaryota, Metazoa, Chordata, Actinopteri, Perciformes, Percidae. The transcript has 3 exons.